RNAcentral lists this ribosomal RNA (478 nucleotides) under uncultured bacterium. RNAcentral's name for it is "partial 16S ribosomal RNA". It matches the Rfam family "Bacterial small subunit ribosomal RNA", at positions 28 to 507 of the family's 1533-position model. The record is from RNAcentral.
GACGAACGCUGGCGGCGUGCUUAACACAUGCAAGUCGAACGGGAUUUAGUAAACGGAAGCCUCGGUGGAAGAUUACUAAUGAGAGUGGCGAACGGGUGAGUAACGCGUGAGCAACCUGCCUAUGACAGUGGGAUAGCCUCGGGAAACCGGGAUUAAUACCGCAUAAAAUCGUAGAAACACAUGUUUCAACGGUCAAAGGUUUAUCGGUCAUAGAUGGGCUCGCGUCUGAUUAGCUAGUUGGUGAGAUAACAGCCCACCAAGGCGACGAUCAGUAGCCGGUCUGAGAGGAUGAACGGCCACAUUGGAACUGAGACACGGUCCAAACUCCUACGGGAGGCAGCAGUGGGGAAUAUUGCACAAUGGGGGAAACCCUGAUGCAGCGACGCCGCGUGAACGAAGAAGGUAUUCGUAUCGUAAAGUUCUGUCCUAUGGGAAGAUAAUGACAGUACCAUAGAAGAAAGCUCCGGCUAAAUACGUG